Myotis davidii is the source of this 74-nucleotide non-coding RNA. Lineage: Eukaryota; Metazoa; Chordata; Mammalia; Chiroptera; Vespertilionidae. The record is from Rfam.
GGCGGUUCUCGAUGACACACCCCAAAAUCGGGCCCCCUCCUCUCUGAUUCCAGGUGCAUCACCCGAGAACGGCA